This is an RNA transcript of Mandrillus leucophaeus (drill), 1691 nucleotides long. It is a transcript of the gene named keratin, type II cytoskeletal 8 pseudogene, with no coding region annotated. The record is from RefSeq and is a predicted model, not a curated record. Lineage: Eukaryota; Metazoa; Chordata; Mammalia; Primates; Cercopithecidae. The transcript has a single exon.
AUGUCUAUCAGAGUGACCCAGAAGUCCUACAAGGUGUCCACCUCUGGCCCCUAGGCCUUAAGCAGCCACUCCUACAUGAGUGGGCCCAGUGCCCGUAUCAGCUCCUGGAGCUUCUCCUGAGUAGGCAGCAGCAGCAGCUUCCAGGGUGGCCUGGGCACCUCCAUGGGUCUGGGUGGACGCUUUGGUGGGGCCAGUGGUAUGGGGGUCAUCACAGCCAUCAUGGUUAGCCAGAACCUGCUGAGUCCCCUUGGAGGUGAACCCCAACAUCCAGGCUGUGCACACCCAGGAGAAGGAGCAGAUCAAGACCCUCUACAACAAGUUUGCCUCCUUCAUCGAGAAGGUGCGGUCCCUGGAGCAGCAGAACAAGAUGCUGGAGGCCAAGUGGAACCUCCUGCAGCAGCAGAAGACAGCUCAGAGCAACACGGACAACAUGUUCGAGAGCCACAUCAACAACUUUCGGUGGCAGCUGGACACUCUGGGCCAGGAGAAGCUGAAGCUUGGCAACAUGCAGGAGCUGGUGGAGGACUUCAAGAACAAGUAUGAGGAUGAGAUCAAUAAGAGUACAGAGAUGGAGAAUGAAUUCGUCCUCAUCGAGAAGGAUGUGGCUGAAGCUAACAUGAACAAGGUAGAGCUGGAGUCUCACCUGGAAGGGCUGACUGACGAGAUCGACUUCCUCAGGCAGCUGUAUGAAGAGGAGAUCCGGGAGCUGCAGUCCCAGAUCUCGGACACUUCCGUGGUGCUGUCCAUGGACAACAGCCACUCCCUGGACAUGGACAGCAUCAUCCCUGAGGUCAAGGCACAGUACAAGGAGAUCACCAACCACAGCUGGGCUGAGGCUGAGGGCAUGCACCAGAUCAAGUAUGAGGAGCUGCAGACACUGGCUGGGAAGCACGGGAAUGACCUGCAUUACGCAAAGAUGGAGCUCUCUGAGAUUAACAGGAACAUCAGCCAGCUCCAGGCUGAGACUGAGGGCCUCAAAGGCCAGAGGGCUUCCCUGGAGGCCGCCAUCACAGAUGCUGAGCAGUGUGAGGAGCUGGCUGUUAAGGAUGCCAACACAAAGCUGUUGGGCUAGAGGCGCCCCGUAGUGGGCCAAGCGGGACAUGGUGUGGCAGCUGUGCCAUGGAGCACCAGGAGCUGAAGAAUAUCAAGCUGGCCCUAGACAUCAAGAUCGCCACCUACAGGAAGCUUCUGGAGGGCAAGGAGAGCUGGCUGGGGUCUGGGAUGCAGAACAUGAGUAUCCAUCUGAAGACCACCAGUGGCUUCUCAGAUGGGCUGAGCUCGGCCUAUGGGCACCUCACAAGCCCUGGCCUCAGCUACAGCCUGGACUCCAGCUUUGGCUUUGGUGGAGGCUCCAGCUCCUUCAGCCGUGCCAGCUCCUCCAGGGCCGUGGUUGUGAAGAAGGUGGAAACACAACAUGGGAAGCUGGUGUCCGAGUCCUCAGAUGUCCUGCCCAAGUGAAUGGCCACGGCAGCCCCUACCAGCCUGCCCCUGCUGCAGCUGCCCCAGGGCCUGUGGGGGAAGCCGCUGUGCAUUGGAGCACAGGAACAGGAGACCCACCUGAGGGUCAGCCCUAGCCCUCAGCCCACCUGCUGAGGGAGUUUACUGCCUGAGGCACCCCCCUUGCUCAUGCUUCCAGCUACAAAACAAUUCAAUUGUUGCUUUUUUUUCCCCCAAAAUAAAACCUCAGCUAG